AGGGAUAGCCCGAGGAAACUCGGAUUAAUACCUGAUAUUCUUUACAUUUCGCAUGAAAUAAAAAGGAAAGGUCAGCCGAACUAAGAUGAGCUCGCGUUCUAUCAGCUAGUUGGUGAGGUAAAAGCUCACCAAGGCAACGACGGAUAGCUGGUCUGAGAGGACGAUCAGCCACACUGGGACUGAGACACGGCCCAGACUCCUACGGGAGGCUGCAGCAGGGAAUAUUGCGCAAUGAGCGAAAGCUUGACGCAGCGACACCGCGUGUGGGAUGACGGAUCUAGGUUUGUAAACCACUUUCAGGAGGGAAGAAAAUGACGGUACCUCCACAAGAAGCCCCGGCCAACUACGUG
Molecule: ribosomal RNA, 350 nt
Filed under: uncultured bacterium
Lineage: Bacteria
Description: bacterial SSU rRNA
Rfam family: Bacterial small subunit ribosomal RNA
Source: RNAcentral